GACCAUGUAACUACCAUGCCUGAUGGAAAACUGAUGCUGGACAGCUCUUAAUUCAAUGCAGUACUUAUACAAUCACUUAUGUUUAAGCAUGGAAUGUCAUGUUGAUGAAAGUUUCCCUGUACUUAUAAGUUGGGAUAAUUCAAUGCUGAAAAAAAAAAAAAAAAAAAACCAACAACAAAAAAAUUUGGUUGAGUUUUACCCUGUAAGAAUAACUUUUUUUUACCUGGUAGUUCACUGGUAAUUCAGUGUCACCACAUCUUACCCAGAACAAUUUGUCAGCAGAUGAAUACACAACUGCCACAGAGAGAAGGGAAAGGUAGAUUUACAAACCUUGUAGGCGGAUAAAGGCAUCAGUCUUGUAUCUCCUGUGUUCUAAAUAAUAUCACUAAUCAUUAUCACAAACAUGACCAACAGUGAAUUAACUUCUGUUCUCUGUGUGAGAACGAACAUAGGACCAUCUCUAUUACAGAUGUUUCUCAUGACUCUGGAGUGUCAACAGACAGAGACCGAACUGUAACACUGUCCUACCACAAAGCCUAGAGAGGGACAAGGUUUCCUUAACUUGCUCAGGACAAAUGCAACCCUUCCUGUUAUUAGAACAAAUGUUAAUGAUACUCUUGUGUAAGUACAGUAUCUGUAAUAGCACAGAGGUUAUAUCUUCAGUAAAUAGCUUUACCUGGGUUUCACAUGCUCCUGUAAUCCAUCCUGCACAAUCUAGUAAUUGCCAACAACAACAAGGAGAACAUAAACCGAGCAGCACGGCAGCUUCGCAGUUAAGGAGGAGCAGCAUAGAAUGGGAAUAUAAGAAGUACAACAAAAAUAAACUAAAAGACAUAAGUUUUCAGUAAUAUCACUGUUAAAGAUUAUUCUCCUAUCUUGGACUGGAAUGCUGGUGCAACUGCUUCAAAAAUCCUUCUUCACUCAACUGGAGAACUUUCAUAUGAGAAUGUCGCCAAGUAAGGUGCAGCAGGAUUCUACCUCUAGUUUGUUGUAGUAUAAAUAAUUAAGUCAGUAACAGUACCCUUAAUAAAUCUAGAUAUGCCACUUAGUCUAAGGACA
This 1059-nucleotide long non-coding RNA is filed under the name Anas platyrhynchos platyrhynchos (common mallard). RNAcentral's name for it is "lncRNA (ENSAPLG00000020006.1)". The record is from RNAcentral. Lineage: Eukaryota; Metazoa; Chordata; Aves; Anseriformes; Anatidae.